RNAcentral lists this unclassified non-coding RNA (2363 nucleotides) under Hevea brasiliensis (rubber tree). Lineage: Eukaryota; Viridiplantae; Streptophyta; Magnoliopsida; Malpighiales; Euphorbiaceae. The record is from RNAcentral.
GGCCAUUUCAGUUUCUUCCUCAAAUACUCCUACUUCGUAUUUUUUCACUAAUUAAAUUAAGAUCGGUGAAUUGAUGUGUUGGUGUUGAAAUUGAGUGAAGGAAGUUAGGGUUUUGGGGUGUUAAUUGGGCGAUCGAGGUUUUUAUCGGGGUUCUAGGGUUGAAGAAAAUUGGGGAUUUUGGUUUUGUUUGAGGAAUUGGAUGGUUUAAUUGAUGGUUGAGAGUGAAGUAAGUGGGGAAAAUGCAAGGGGAGUUCUAUUAUGCAUGGGAGGAUACAGAGGGAACAAGGUCAGGUUUGUAAAAAGGGGAGUGGAAGCGGUGGUCAGCACAUGCCGGCGACGACUACAAGGAGGACUGUAGACGUCGGUGGUUCAUCUAUUGUUAAUACUGUUACUGCUGAUUCCUUCUGUAAGUGAAUGUCAUCCUCUCUGCAGGAUGGUCGCAAAAUUCGUGUGGGAGAUUGCGCUUUGUUCAAACCACCACAUGAUUCACCGCCUUUCAUUGGAAUAAUACGUAGGCUUAGAUUGGGUAAAGAUAAUAACUUGCAAUUAGGUCUUAAUUGGCUCUAUCGUCCUGCUGAGCUGAAGCUUAGCAAGGGCAUCUUGCUGGACACCACGCCCAACGAAAUCUUUUAUUCCUUCCAUAGGGAUGAGACUCCAGCUGCAUCAUUACUCCAUCCAUGUAAAGUUGCAUUCCUUCCUAAAGGGGCUGAACUUCCAACAGGGAUAUCUUCAUUUGUCUGUAGGCGGGUUUAUGACAUUUCAAACAAGUGCUUACGUUGGUUAACUGAUCGAGAUUAUAAUAACGAACAACAAAAAGAGGUAGAUCAGCUGUUAUACAAGACACAAGUAGAGAUGCAUGCAACAGUGCAGCCGGGUGGUCGUUCUCCUAAACCGAUGAAUGGUUCUAUAUCGUCGUCACAAUUGAAAACUGGUUCUGAUAAUAUACAAAGUAGUGUAGCUUCUUUUCCUUCACAAGUCAAGGGAAAGAAAAGGGAGCGAGGAGAACAGGGCUCUGAGUCCAUCAAACGGGAACGUUCAGUUAAAUCUGAUGAUAGUGAAAGCGUCUUAAAAUCUGAAAUUUCUAAAAUAACAGAGGAAGGAGGACUUGUGGACUGUGAAGGGGCUGCAAAGCUUGUUCAGCUCAUGCAACCGGAUAGAGUGGACAGGAAAAUGGAUUUGACUAGUCGUUCGAUGCUUGCAAGUGUUGUUGCUGCAACCGACAAAUUUGAUUGCCUUGCUAGGUUUGUACAGUUAAAGGGUUUGCCUGUGUUAGAUGGAUGGCUUCAAGAUGUUCAUAGAGGGAGGAUUGUUGAAGUUAGUAAUAGUAAGGACGGUGAUAUCUCCAUUGAGGAAUUUCUCUUGGUUUUGCUUCGAGCACUCGAUAGGCUUCCUGUGAAUCUUCAAGCACUACAGAUGUGCAAUAUUGGUAAAUCUGUUAAUCACUUGCGCCAACAUAAAAACAUGGAGAUUCAGAGGAAGGCGCGAAGCUUAGUUGACACAUGGAAGAAACGCGUCGAAGCUGAAAUGAACAUGAUUGAUUCUAAGUCUGGCUCAAAUCAAGCUGUCACGUGGCCCUCUAAAGCACGACUGCCUGAGGCUUCUCAUAGUGGUGAGAAAAAUGCUGGUGGUUCCACUGAUGCAACAAGGAGCUCAGUUACACAGUUUUCUGCAUCCAAGACAACCUCAAUCAAGCCUACACCAGUGGAAACUAAUAUGAAGUCUGCAUGCUCUUCUCCAGGCCCAAUAAAACAAGCAUCACCUCCUUCAUCCGGAAAAGUGGGUCAGCCAAGAAUUUCAGCUUUUGGUUCCAGUGAUGUUCCUCUGGCUAGGGAAGAUAAGAGCAGCAGUUCUAGUCAGUCUCACAAUCACAGUCAGUCCUUAUCAGGGAAGGAGGAUGCAAGGAGUUCAACUGCUGUUUCAAUGAGCAGCAUCAAGAUCUCUAGUGGUGGUUCUCGGCACCGCAAGUCGAUAAAUGGUGGUCCUGGACCAUCGGUUUCUGCAGGUCAAAAAGAAGGUUCUACAAACAGAAGUUCUUCAUUGCACCGGAAUCCUACCACUGAGAAGCCGCUGCAGUCUGCAUUGAGUGGUGAAAAAACGGUUGAUGUGCCAGCUGUAGAAGGGAGUUGUCACAAAUUGAUAGUAAAGAUACCAAACAAAGGCCGCAGUCCUACGCGGAGUGUCAGUGGAGGAUCAUGUGAAGACCCUUCAAUCAUGAGCAGCCGAGCUUCUUCUCCUGUGCUUUCUGAAAAGAAUGAUCAGCUUGAUCGUAAUUCUAAGGAGAAGAAAGAUGCAUAUCGAUCAGAUGUUACUAUUAACGUGAAUACAGAAUCAUGGCAGAGCAAUGUUUUGAAAGAUGUACUCAC